GCGGGUGUAACUCAGCGGCAGAGUAUCACGUUGCCAACGUGAAGGUCGUGGGAUCGUACCCCACCACCCGCUCCA
This 75-nucleotide transfer RNA is filed under the name Gammaproteobacteria bacterium. Its description in RNAcentral is "tRNA-Gly". It matches the Rfam family "tRNA". Rfam says of the family: Transfer RNA (tRNA) molecules are approximately 80 nucleotides in length. Their secondary structure includes four short double-helical elements and three loops (D, anti-codon, and T loops). The record is from RNAcentral. Lineage: Bacteria; Pseudomonadati; Pseudomonadota; Gammaproteobacteria.